Molecule: ribosomal RNA, 139 nt
Filed under: uncultured eukaryote
Lineage: Eukaryota
Description: partial 18S ribosomal RNA
Rfam family: Eukaryotic small subunit ribosomal RNA
Source: RNAcentral
UGGUGGAGUGAUUUGUCUGGUUAAUUCCGUUAACGAACGAGACCUCAGCCUGCUAAAUAGUGUGCGUAUUCGAAAGAAUGCGUUCGACUUCUUAGAGGGACAUUUCGGUUUUACCGGAAGGAAGUUUGAGGCAAUAACA